Small nucleolar RNA from Nomascus leucogenys (northern white-cheeked gibbon), 135 nucleotides. Its record names the gene SNORA70. It matches the Rfam family "Small nucleolar RNA SNORA70". Rfam says of the family: snoRNA U70 seems to be exclusive to mammals and is a member of the H/ACA class of snoRNA which contain H (ANANNA) and ACA box motifs. The record is from Ensembl. Lineage: Eukaryota; Metazoa; Chordata; Mammalia; Primates; Hylobatidae.
CUGCAGCCAAUUAAGCUGACUGAGUUCCUUUCCUCACAGGGGCCAGGUGUGCAAUGGCUGCAAACAGCAGCUUCCUUGGUAGUGUACACAGCCUGUUUCUUGUAUGCAUUGCUCUAAGGGACCUUGGAGACAGGC